This 484-nucleotide ribosomal RNA is filed under the name uncultured bacterium. RNAcentral's name for it is "partial 16S ribosomal RNA". It matches the Rfam family "Bacterial small subunit ribosomal RNA", at positions 30 to 507 of the family's 1533-position model. The record is from RNAcentral.
AUUGAACGCUGGCGGCAUGCCUUACACAUGCAAGUCGAACGGUAGCAGGUCUUCUGAUCCUGGCGACUGGCGCAGGGGUGUGUAAUACAUCUAAACAUCCCCCUGGUUGGGGGGGAUAAAGUCCGAAACCGGGCUCUAAUCCCGCACAAGUCCUGAGGGAAAACGGGGGGGAUCUUGGGUCCUCCCGCUCGGAGCUGCGCAUAGGUCGGAUUAGGUAGUUGGUGGGGUAAAUGCUUACCAAGGCGACGAUCCGUAGCUGGUCUGAGAGGAUGAUCAGUCACACUGGAACUGAGACACGGCCCAGACUCCUACGGGAGGCAGCAGUGGGGAAUAUUGGACAAUGGGCGAAAGCCUGAUCCAGCCAUGCCGCGUGUAGGAUGAAGGUCUUCGGAUUGUAAAGUGCUUUUAUAUGGAACGAAGAGCAGUUAUCUAAUAAAGAGGUGUCAUGACGUUACCGUAAGAAUAAGCACCGGCUAACUACGUG